Trifolium pratense (red clover) is the source of this 511-nucleotide long non-coding RNA. RefSeq lists it as uncharacterized. NCBI's taxonomy places the organism in Eukaryota, Viridiplantae, Streptophyta, Magnoliopsida, Fabales, Fabaceae. The record is from RefSeq and is a predicted model, not a curated record. The transcript has 2 exons.
UGAUAAAAAUAUAUGAGAAUAUGAGAAUGAAUUUCAGCCUUUGGAUUAAAAAUUAAUAGCUUAGAUUAAAGUGUGCUUCUCUUUUUCCUAUGUACCACAUCUCUUCUCCUUCCUCUUCUUCUUCCAGCCUGCAAAUACAACAAAAAAUCACUUCACACGGUUUCACCCACACCGGCCAAGCAAAGUGUUCACACCUUCGAACCACCUCCGCUCCGGUUGCCACCGCCCACCAUAUUCGUCUUGCUCUCUCUCUCGCUCUGCAGAACUAGUAAUAAUAUGAAGAGAGAGAGGUAGAGAUCGAGAUGCAGCGAAAACGGCAACCAAACAACGGCGGCGAACAACGACGAAGAACGGCGAGAGAAGGGUAGAAAGAUGCAGCGAAGGAAUAAGGACGAUGAUCCAGUUCUAGUCGCCGGAGAAUUGCACGGUGGGAGCGGGAGAGGAAGAAUAAGAGUAUUUUUUUUUUGAAACAAGGAAGAAGAAGAGAUAGUACGGAGAAGAAAGAAAGAAA